Long non-coding RNA from Coregonus clupeaformis (lake whitefish), 1430 nucleotides. RefSeq lists it as uncharacterized. The transcript has 3 exons. Lineage: Eukaryota; Metazoa; Chordata; Actinopteri; Salmoniformes; Salmonidae. The record is from RefSeq and is a predicted model, not a curated record.
CCAUACUAGCAAAUGCGCUUACUCUGAUAAAUCAGCAUAUCAUCUAUUUUUGUUGUGCUGGCAAUAAGUGUGGUCCCAUUCAAAUUGUGUGUUUGUGUGUUGUAGGCCAAGGCUCAUUACAGAUAAAGGGGGUGGGGAAACUAGUUCAAAUUUAUAGCCUGUCUCAGCUGUGUCAAAUUUGGCAAACUCAAAUGGUCAGCUUGCAAAUGGUUGGGGUAUACUUAGGGGUCAGAGGCCUUUCUAAUAACUGCAAAUCUGUACAUUUUUAGCACUCUACAUGUAUAAAUGAAAAAGUGUGAUUAAUGUAAUUAGAUUUCAGGUAUGUUACAUGUUGAUACAUUUGUACACAUUUGUCAUCAUUUACCCCCUCACGUCUGAGUAUGACACUUCUAGAAAGUCCACUCUGACAUAACAUUCCAUAAGAGGCAAAUAUGUACGUUCUGUCUUCAUACAGAGUGAUGGUGAGUGCCCUCCUAUGAGUCUAUGGAGCCCUCUCACCAGAGCACUGCUGAGUGACCUACUAGCAGGCGUUUGGGUGGCAUGAAUGGAGGUGCCCCACUGCUGUGCAGAAAUCCACAUGGGGAAGCAACAGGGAUAUUCUCCAAGCUCAUCCUUUGAAACAAUCAGAGUUUUUAUUAUUCAUAAAGAGGACCACCCACUUUCUAAACCUUCGCCUCUAUUUUUGCAGGGUCAGAAAAGAGUGACCAGUUGUUCUUUAUGGCGGAGAUCUUUACGAUGUGGUUGGAGCUGUUGGGAGACCACCAAUCGUCCUUUCACUUGUUACUGGAGGAAGCCUUUGGUCAACUGGUGGCAAAAAAAUUAAUUGAUUUGAGACUACGCUGAAGACAGGAUCAAAUAUCCACAGAUGCCUGGCAAACAUUCUUUGAAGAAGCAAAUAGGUUUUCCAGGUGAUGUGGUGUCUAUUACUGCUGCAUAAGAAAUUGUGGUUUAUUUUUGUAUUGCUGUAUGUGCAUCUAUAUGUAUACAUACAAAUGUGUUUUAAGCAUGUUUCCUUACUCUCAAAUUAUGAAUGUUACCUUGCUUACCUGCCUCUUGCUCGUUUUUGCUUUGUUUUUACUAAAAAACAAACAUUGGUUGUUGUCAAAUUAUGCCAGAGACUACAGUUUGGGCAACACAACUUGAUGGAUGGACUGACUGACAGCGUUUAAGAAGUGACAUUAACUAGUGGAAUCAUUGCUACAAAGUCUGUCAGUGGCUACAAAUGCCUGUCACCCAUUGGGCAGAAUGAGUUGUCAGAGAUGCUUAACUGCUGUAUUUUACAACUUUGCUGGCUGGUCAAGAGCGCCAGUGAUGUGAAGGAGUGGAAGAUGUAAGCACUGGGCUUGCUAAAUCCUUACACAGAGCUCACAUUACACAAUGUUGUGUUUGAAUGGACUAUUUUAUGGUGAAAUGUAUAAUAAACUAUAACA